UAAGAACGUCAUUUAAAUAGAUCUCAUGAGGUGAAUAGGAUUGGACAUAUGUUGACGGAUUUAUUGAAAAAUUUGUUCUCUGGCCCAGUGUGAGAAUCCUGAAGCUGUUUUGGAUGUCAUUCCCAAGCUGGAAACCACAGGCAAUGCUUGGAAGUCCCGUAGUUAUGGAAGCACGCCUGACACAAAUUGUAAACUCUGUGUAUUUGGUGACAGUGGCACGGGAGAAAAAGAAGAGGAAAAGAAACUAGACACGGCAAAGACAAAGAGAACUGCUCUGUAUCCAGCUGCGAGACAACACUGCCAUUUCAGAAGGCAGCCAGUUGUCAUGCACAAGGAACAUGAGGAGAAGGACCAUGAGAAGGAUGACAGAGCCGAGGCAGCUCCAAGGAGGAAAUUGAUGAUCAUACAAACAUUUUGACAACUGAUGGUGCUGAAAGGACAGCUGAAGAGCGGAUCAAUACCUUGCUUUAUUUUUUUAUAAGAAAAAAGGAAGAGGGUUUUUAGAUUCUUUUGACAAGGAAAUUGUUGCAGGAGCAGAAAAACUGGGUAUAAAAGCCAUGACGGGUUCUCUUGUUUUGACAAGAGUUUGUUUUUUUGUUUUUUAAAUGAUAAGAUUAGAGAGGAAAUUAAGAAAUACCAAUGCUAUUUUCUACAGUUUGACACAGUAAUGACAAAAGGCUCAGGAGUUCCUUCAGGUUUGGAAGUAUAUAGUAGCAAUUCUUCAAGGUCAGACUGUCUUUAACAUUCUAAGUAUUUUGAAGGAGAAACAGGUCACAGGGCUUUUGGAAGAAGAGGUUAUCAUCAGCUCUUUGGGAAAGGUAUCUAAGAAGUUAGGGCUCAAGAGAACUACUAAACAAAUUGCUGUCAAAGUGAACCACUUAUAAAAUGGCUGGAAGAAGAAGAGGAGGAAUAACCUGGAGGUGAAGACGUAGGUGAAGACAGGGAUGCUGCAGGACCAAGCAGCUAUGUUGGGGAGCUCCAUGUGGCAAGGAACUGCAAGCAGCCUUUAGGAACAGCCUGCUUAUAGCCGACAGGCCAGCUAACUCUGGCCAACAGCCUACAAAGACCUCCAGCCAACACCCAGCAGGAAAAUGGGGCUCUUUGUCCCAUAACUGCAAAGAAUUGGAUUUUGUCACCAACAGUGGAGACUUGAAAGUGGAUCCUUCUUCAGCCAAGCCUCGGAUGAGACCAAACCCUGCCAACACCUUGACUGCAGCCUUGUGAGACCAUGAAGCAAAGAACCCCAUUAAGCCAUAUCCAGAGUCCUGACCCAUUGAAACUGUGAGAUAAUAAAGGUAAGUUAUUUUAAACCUCUAAGGUUGUGGCAAUUUGCUAUGCAGCAAUAGGUAAAUACGCUGGCCAUCAGAGUCGAAAGCCCCAGCCUUAGGCUUUCGGUUCCUCAGAGCGUGUUAGACUAAAGUCUACCAUCUUCCCCAAACUGUGAAGAUCUACAUUAAGCUCCCCACAUGGUCCCAUUCUAGCCUCUGUCUCUGAGCUUAGAGACGAGGGGAAAGAUCUUCCUUCCUUCUCCGACAGAGGGAGGAAGGAGAAAACCCCACAGAACGUCAACAGUUUUCUUCCAAUGGAAUUCUCCAAUAAAGCUCUCAAGGAAUAUUCUGUUUCUAGCAAAAUUCUCUGGGUUCCAACUUAGUCUUUAAACUUCUUUUAUAGGCUAGUUGAGAGAACCGUUUUUGGCUAACUCUCUUGUAAUUUCUGCUUGGGUGAAUGGCAUUUCAUUUUGUAAACUGAAAGCAAUUGUCAACUCCAUGGCAAAUCAAGAACAGGGGCAGUCCCUCCAGGUGCAGGCAAUAGGGGAAGCAUUGUCUGUAGAAACUUUUAAAACAAUAGCAGAACUGCCAUCUGCCUUUUAUCAUCCACGUGUAAGCAAUUCUAAAUAUACUGAUAAUAAAAUACUCCUUCCCCGAAAAAAAAAUCUUCUGUUGGUCUAGAUUCUAAUCUAAAAAUGACCUGUUCCUUGCCUGUUCCUGUUCCCUCCCACCGCCCUACCCUUGCAAUGACACUGUGUUAUCUAUUGUCUCUUGGCCUCAGAUGGAACUGAGCAGUCUCCUGCCCACGUAAGUCCUGUUAUGUCCAGAUGGACACUUUAACUUCAGAUUUUACAAUGCCUUCUGAGGCUUAAUUAGAAAAAGCUGCCCUUCCUGAGGAUCCUUUGCUGUCAUCUGCUGGACGAUUGUAAAAAGUGCAGAAAUUCAUGAUGGUUGCAAAAGUGAAUGUCGUCUCUUAGAUCUGUGCUGUGUUCCCCCUGCAUGCUCAUAUGUGGUGGUAUUGUGUAUGCGUUGAAAGUGCACCCGUCAGAAGGAAGGUGGAACAUUUAGCAUUAUCUAAGGUAUGAAGAAUUAAGAUGUAAAAUUUCCACCUUCUAGUGCUUUUCUUUCUGUUUGGUCUAGCAGGACUGGUACCAGAAAGUCACUUGGGUGGACCUGUGUGUGAUUGUGUGGUGGUGUGGGGGAAGGGGGAGAAUGGGUUCUCUGGAGAAAAUAAAGGAAACAGGCUCUGGAAGGGUAUACUAGCUUUAUUGUCCAGCAAAGCAAGGCAGGGAGAAAUAGAAGAUGAGGAAAAGGAAAUGCAUGCGUACUAAUGAAAUGGCACUGUGCCAAGUCACUGUUCUAAGUGUUUGACAUAUUUCUUCUCAUCCUAUUAGCAUCUGGUGCUAUUAUAUGUGUAACUCUCCCUAUUUUGCAGACAAACAGAGGAAGACACUGAGAAGUGAAGGGACUUGCUCGAGACCAAAUAUUUUGUGUUUGAGGAAGUAAAUGUUCUGGAAGCAGGAGCACUCCCGCCCUCAAUGAUUCAUCUUAUCUGCAUGACAUCUCGUUGUGAAAAGAGUACUCAAUAUUGUUUGAGGGGCUGCAUUGAAACACAGAGAGAAGAGAAGAAGAAAGAAGAUUAAGC
Molecule: non-coding RNA, 2913 nt
Organism: Equus caballus (horse)
Lineage: Eukaryota; Metazoa; Chordata; Mammalia; Perissodactyla; Equidae
Source: RefSeq, a predicted model, not a curated record